CGCCCUCUUCCGUUCAUCUAAUUUUUAUGAUACACUGUCAUUAAUCGUCAGCCUAUCCUCGGUACAUGAGUAAAAUAAAACUCCAUGCACGGAUAUGACGGACUUAAAUAUAAAGCAGAGUCUAAUGGAAUCUAGCAGGCCUACGCCCAAGUGUCCAUACGAUGGAUGGAGCGAAGCAUAAGAUGGGUGAGCUAGUAGGGCGCUAAAAAAAUGAAUUUAUAAUUUUUCAUGAGAGAGUUAACGUGCAUAUGCGAAACCGGUUCAGCUCUGGCAUAUCAUGGAGCUUUGGAUGAAGAAUCUUCUUGAUCGCAACUACUCUACUCCUACCGUGUAAGUUAACGGAAGCCGCAAGAGCAGUAAGUUAUUUUUGUUAGUCGUUUGUUGUUUUACAGCUUUUAUUUUUUAUUAUUUUUACAAUAUAUAUAUAUCCAUAGAUUUUUUUAUUAGUCACUUUGGCUUUUUAUCCAUGCAAAGUCGACGAUCCGAGCGCCGUUGCUGCAGCAGCAACCGCAUCUCGAUGGAUAAAAUCCGAUAAAAAUGACAAAGCCGUUAGGUUAGGCGCGCCGAGCGAAACUCACAAGUCCUUCUAUCUCUUUUACUCUUCACUCCCUCUUUUACUCUUUUUACUUUAAACAUUUAUUUUUCUCUUUAACUUGCUCUCACACUACACUCUUUCAUUUAUGUACUUCCUUUCUCAUCCAGCCGUCGCGCGCCGAUGAUAUUCAGCGCACAAGAAACGGCCCCAGGUGUGCUCUCAAUAUCGGUCUAUCAAUAGACCGAUCAAACGAUCAUCGACUAACGUAUCAAAAAAUUAUAUCAAAUCUUUUUAAUACUCUUUUUAUAUACGCAUUCAUCCUCUUAAUACACACAUCCAUAAAUAUAUACGUGUGCAUAUAAUAAGUCCAUGUAUAUGAUUGUCAGUCGUGAAAGCGUACAUAUGAUUGAGGAAAGUCGGGUAAAUGAUCUAAGAUCGUCCUCUUGAAUCCUCUUGGUUCGUCGUUGUGAUAAGUGGCAAUCUAGCUUUAUGAACUAAAUCUCUCUUGAAAGCUGAUGGCCAGAUUAUUUUAAAUAAAAUGAUGUGUGAUGCAGAGUAGCGUAUCGAGAGUAAAUAAAAAAGUAUAAACGAGAUUGCAAAGAGGGCAAGUUGACGAGUGUGAACUGGGUUUGUUGCUGGUUUCUGCUGUAUGCCAGCGGUAAAAUAAAAAGGAUUAAAAAGAAAAAAGAAGAAAUGGCAGAAGAGAGAUGGAAUAAAUGAAAGAUGACUAGUCUUAAGACGGUCAAGAGUCUGAGGGAUGAGAUGGAAUGACGAUGGGGGAAAAAUAGCAGCCAGCAUCCCAAGAUAUUCUUGGGAGAGCCAUCAUCAGAGAGUGCGAUGCAACAACUGUCUCCAUCCGUCAUGUACCCGUCGACCUGCUCCGCCACGGCCACUCUUACAUUAGAUUAUGAGCCUCCACGGUCUUUGCAAUCCAAGUGCUUGAUGCUUGUCUGCAUCCAUGACAUCAAGUCUUUUUUAAAAAUUUGUUAUUGUUAAAUAACAAACAUCGUUAUAUUUUUAAACGGAGUUUAGAUUUUUAGCAGAAGAAGAAAAAAGAGUUGAGAUCAGAUGCUGGGCAUUUAAAUGGACACUAAUAUGAAUAUUAAUAUAAAACAAGUUGAGUUAGUUUUACGUAUUUAGAGUUUGAGGUAAAAGAAAAAGAAAAAGAAUGAGAUUUAUAAAGAUGAGGAUGAUGGUGAUGAUAUUUUGGCGCGUGUUUGUCUGACUUUAUAAUAUGUAUGUUAUUUGUCUACAAUAAAUCGAAGGUGAGUCUGAGUAGUAGAUGACGUAACGACGCCUGUUGAUUCGAAGAAAUGAGUUAGUCAGUGUCGCUGCUGGUUGCUAUACUACUAGUAAACUUUCAUCGUUUUAUUUUAUAGUAUUUCUUUUUUAUAUUAUUUUUAUUCCCGGUUUUAUUUCUUCUUUUCUUCUUCUUCUUUCUAUUGCUUGGGUUAAACUUGUUCUAUUUAUUUUAUUUCUGUAAAGAGUAACAACUUAAGACGGUUAGAUGCUUAAAAGUCAAAAGUGUUUGCAAUAACGCUGUACGCUCCUCGGUGCUUUGUUUUUUUAAACUUAACUACUGGAUCAUAUUUUACUGAUAUAUAAAUAUAUACUCGUAUAACGCGAUAAAGAUCAUCAUAACUUUGAGUAGUUGAUUAAACGAGUUUUUCAUGUGAUGUCUUCUUGUAAUCUUUUUAUUUAUUAUACAUAUAAAUAUAUAUAUAUAUGUUUCUUGAUAUUAUUAUUUUGAUGAUACUGAUGAUAGGUUUUUAUUCAAAAUUGAUAAAUUAUUUAUUUUAUUAAUCAUAAAACUCAAAUAUUGUCACGAUUGUCACGUAAUUGAGAUAGUAAUUGACAUUUAUGCACUUGUUUGAUUAAAAUA
Molecule: long non-coding RNA, 2417 nt
Organism: Microplitis mediator
Lineage: Eukaryota; Metazoa; Arthropoda; Insecta; Hymenoptera; Braconidae
Exons: 5
Source: RefSeq, a predicted model, not a curated record